GGGCGGAUGGCGAAAUUGGUAGACGCAUCAGACUCAAAAUCUGACGAUGGUGACAUCAUGAGAGUUCGAUUCUCUCUCUGCCCA
RNAcentral lists this transfer RNA (84 nucleotides) under Oscillatoriales cyanobacterium SM2_2_1. RNAcentral's name for it is "tRNA-Leu". It matches the Rfam family "tRNA". From Rfam's summary of the family: Transfer RNA (tRNA) molecules are approximately 80 nucleotides in length. Their secondary structure includes four short double-helical elements and three loops (D, anti-codon, and T loops). Lineage: Bacteria; Bacillati; Cyanobacteriota; Cyanophyceae; Oscillatoriales. The record is from RNAcentral.